This 4239-nucleotide long non-coding RNA is filed under the name Sus scrofa (pig). RNAcentral's name for it is "lncRNA (ENSSSCG00065017785.1)". Lineage: Eukaryota; Metazoa; Chordata; Mammalia; Artiodactyla; Suidae. The record is from RNAcentral.
AGACUCGUCAGACCCCUGCACAAUUGAAAGGAAAGCUCGAAGAAUUAGUGUAACCUCCAAAGUACAGGAGGACGUUCAUGACACCCAGGCAGCAGCUGCCGAUGAGCAUCCAGGUGGCUCCAAACAGAGUCCUCGGACACAACCCCGAGAUGAAGACUAUGAAGGGGCUCCAUGGAAUUGUGACAGCUGCACCUUUCUAAACCACCCUGCACUAAAUCGCUGUGAGCAGUGUGAGAUGCCACGGUACACUUGAAUUCUGAGGAGUCUGCACCUGGUUGAGAGUGAAACUUUGAGCAACCCAUUAGAAGAAAAGGAAACCUCGGGAAUCUGUUCCAUCUGCCCAGGCUUUUCAUUUCAGAUUAUGUGGGGGUGGGAGGGGGGAGGAGGAAUGACACUGCAGCCGCUUGUGCUCACUUAAGGAAAAAUAGGGAGGGUUUUUUCCACCCCUUUCUUAACUCAUAGCAGUUAGGGAUAGAAAGGGAUACUUGAAAUGGGGAAAGGAUUCACUCCUGAAAGAAUGUACAUGGAGAAGUCAAGAGCUCUUAAUGUUACUGCUGAGUGACCCUUAUUUUAUAAACUAUAACUUUGAAUCAUGGUAUAACAUGUUACAGUUUAUGCAGACAAACUGUGAACUGCCAGAGCAGACUUACCUGGUCACAGCUCUCUGGAAAACCCAGGCUCCUCAGGCUUCUUCCAGUGGCUUCCUACUCAAGAGAAGGACAGGGAAAAGCAACCAGAGGAUGAUUUUGGGGGGAGCAAAAUAAUAAGGGUAUUUGUAAUUGCUGCUUUUUUCAGGGGUAAUUUCCAACACACAAACAAGAUGUUUUAAAAUGUGAUUUGUAGCAGGUCAGGAAUUAGGCAUAUCAUGCCCUUUUUUCGAAAGUACAAUCGGAGGUGAUAAGAACCCUUUUGCUUGUACAGUGAUUCAUCAAGCUACAUCAACACUGGUAACCAAGACCUAAUUACGCUGCAUAAUAUGUAUUUUACGUUACUGCAUGCUUUUAUUAGGCCACUGGUUUUUAAAAUAACCAACAAGUCCUUACAAAUUAAAAUUUCAUGAAUGAUCUCAUCAAACUGCGCUUUGCAAAUAGCACAGUGAAUGUAUGCUGAAUGUAAAUCCAUUCCGAAAUCCACUUGGAAUCUUGAGCUCAGCUGUGGUUCUGUAAGAGAUGUUCGCAGUCCAUAAAUUAGCCUUUUUCUUUCCCCACCUUCCAGUUUGUGACAAGUUCAUGAUGUUUACAGCACAGAUAAUAUUUUGUGCCAUAAUCCUAAUGUAGCUGAAAAAAAUCAAUAUUAGCUGUUCAAUAAAGAUGUAUUUGCACAUAUGUUAAUAAACCAGUGUGUGAAAAAUUAUAGUUGGCCAAUAUCAUAAAGUUGCACACUGCAUUAUUUGGGGAGGAAGAGAAGGCGACUCAAGAAAUAUGAUUAAGAGAAAGGUAAAUACAAAGGACUGUGAAACUACGAACUUUUAAAAUAUACUGUAUUCAAAUAGUUCAGGUGAUACUAAGGCACUCCUUUAUAAAACUAGAACUUUAGGGUGUAAAUAACUGAAGAGAUAUAAAAUCAUUUGACUCACUAAGGUGCGCCACUGGAAAAUUAUUAAUAGGACGUUAAUUAAGCUCUUUACAAUUGUUGACUUUUCUUCCAAGCUCAAAAUUGGAUUUUUGACUCUUCACCUUAUUUGGGUAAAAUAUAAAGAGCAAUAAUUGGUAGAUUUCCUAAUCCUAAAGGAUUGUACCUGAGGUUAUAACUUGAGGAGUAUCUACUCUCCCAAACUAGGUGUUCCCCUACACGCGCUUCAAGCUGUCAUUGUAUGCUAAUUUAGCAGUCAUCUCUGGCAGACCUGGAAAAACAAGCUGCACUUAAUAGCAUAAUGAAACCAAAGGCAUAAUAACUCAUCACAGUUUUCCAUCAAAAUCGUAAUUUAACAUUGUACCUGCAGCUUUGAAAACAUUUUUUCAGAUGUAGAAAAUGUCCUGAAAAAUAUCCACUUGUCUUACAAAGUCAACGUGGCUGUGUAAUAACACUGAUAAAACAUCUCUCACACAAUAACUGUGGUAAAACUGUGAAAUUAAAGGUGAGAAAGCAGAUGGGCUUAAAAGCAUUGACCUGAAAACAUUCAUUCUUUAAAGGCUUGUUAUAGCAAUGGUGUCUGUCAGUCGCCAAUAAGUCUUAUCAGUCCUACUGUUCUGUAAUAUGCCAAUGCCUUUGCCUUUGUAUGGUUUCAUAUCUCUUUAGUGAUGGUCAACCCCACUUGGUAUUAAGUAACAAUUUAGGGAAAAAUAUAUAUGUAUAUAUAUAUACUGAUGGAUGUUCUAGCUAAAGGUUUUUACCCAGUAUUCUUAGUGAUAUGCUGAAGUGGCAGCAAUUAACUUGGCAGUUGUCAGUUGAGAAUGAAAGUAGCAUGUAUGAAAGCAGUUUGAUGCUUUAUUAAAACCAUGUAGAUGACUUUAGAACUAUUGCAUGAACAUACAUCCAGAUUACUGAACUGUUAUCACACAGUAGAUGCAUGGUUCCAGUCCUUUGGUGAUAUAUCUAGUAAAUCAUUGUUUUCACCUGCCAGGAAAAAUGAGAAACCAGUCUAUUUGAUAGGUAUGGAGGGUGGGGUAUGAGACAUCAGAGACUGAUUUUUAAGAAAGUUUUGUAUGUGUUCAUUUCUGGUUGUGCACAAGUUUCAUACGCUGACAUAGGCUGUAUUCAUUUUUAAAAUAACCAACAUUCUUUGACACUGAUCAAUCUGAUGUAUUUAACUGUGUCCCAUGUAUAGACUUCUUGCCUGUAAUCCGUUUGAACAAGAAUUCAGUCAACUUUCAAGAUACCUUUUCAAAAGGAUCUCCCGGUAGGACUGAUAUGUACAAACAAUUGGCAUAUAAAUGGUAGGAUAGAAAUUGGAUAAUGCCUGCCUGCUGAGGUGCCUGUACUUUUUGAAUCAGUUGGUGCACUUCUCAUUUCUAGUAAAGAUUUUUUUCUUAAAAUACAACUAGUUUGAUGUAUUUGGUAACAUAUAGACCUGACUAUACAUUUUACAUUAUUUCACGUUUUGUUAACUGGGUUUUUAGAAAACACCUUUACCAUUUUUUUAAAGUACAUUGGCCCUUAAAUUUUGGAGCACGUCUUAAAUGUUUAAAGUGGUAAUGGAGGAGCCAGAAACUGUCUAAGCAUUGUAAAAUGUUUAGAGUAAUGACCUUGUUUUGAGAGAGUGUAGAGGAAGGGCGUUUUAAAUAUACAAAGGAAAUGCAUUGUAAAAAGGUAGUUUUAGAGCAGAUUAAUGAUGGUGGGGAAAGUGUUGCUAAUUUGUCUAUUUCCCUGAAAAAAAUAGGAGUGUGAUGAGCAGUUUAAUAAUUUUUAAGGAGCUGGUCUCAAUUUUAGUACUUAUAAUUAUUAUAAGAAAUCAGUGUUUCCUUAAAUUUUGUCAUUGCUUUGUCCCAGUUAUCUAGGGUUCAUAUUCCAACUUUCUGUGGCAACUCAAUUUUACAUAGUAUUUUAAGGUAAUUGUAAUGUCUUUGACAGUAUAAACAAAAAGCAAGAAUAUUAGGCAUAGAAAAAUUGUCCUUCGAAAAUAUCAAUGAUGUAUCCUGGAAUGUGAAGAUGUCCCCUUAUAGUUUAAAUUGAUUUAUUUUAAUAUCGUAAUCAUUGUUUAGACUUUAAAUGAGUCAUUAUAUAGUGUCUAUAUAUCCAUAGAGAAAGGAAAAUGACAAUUGAAAUGUUACUUUAAAAUCGUAAUAAAUUGGGCACUGUCUGUUGCACCACUACUGUAUCUUUUUGAAAGAAUUAAUAUUUUCUUAUUGUAAAAGUUAAUUCUGAUGAUGAUUUCACACUCACCAGACACCCAUUUUUUUCUGUAUUAUUUGCAUCCCCAAAUAUUUAAUACAAAUAGAUUUUGCAUGACUUGGGCAUUCAGAGAUUAAUAGAACGAUGACUCAGUUUUAAGUUCUAAAGCCAUGAAAAGUUGCUUUGAGACUGAACAAUUCUGAAUUCUUAUUUAUAAUGACACCCAAUAUCCAUGUUUCCCUACUGUAAAAGAAUUGAUCAGUUUCUUCACUAAAACAGCAAGAACUUAUUAAAUCUUGUAAAUACCAUGUCUCUUUUAGAUUGCUGUGUUAUGCUGUGAAUCAAAUUAUUUUGAGGUGAAAUUGUACAAAGGCAUUUUAAAAGGCUAUGCAUGCAUCGUACCUCCAAACAAUACAUACUCGGAAAAUCAAAGAUUCCUGCAAAAUAAAUCAAUAAACUAAAAGCAAA